AGCAGUGAUGAAUAUUGGGCAAUGGGCGAAGGCUUGAUCCAGCCAUGCCGCGGGCAGGAAGCCGGUCCUAUGGAAUGUAAUUUGCUUUUGUACGGGAAGAUCAAGGUUCACGUGUGGCCCUAUGACGGUACCGUAAGAAUAAGGAUCGGCUAAAUCCGUGCCAGCAGCCGCGGUAAUACGGAGGAUCCCAGCGUUAUCUGGAAUUAUUGGGUUUAAAGGGUCGGUAGGCGGGCCGUUAAGUCAGGGGUGAAAGUCCGCGGGCUCAACCGUAGGACUGCCCUUGAUACUGGCGGCCUUGAAGUUAUGGUAAAGGGGGUUGAAUUUCCGGUGGUAGCCGUGAAAUGCAUAGAAUAUGACAGGGAAUACCCGAUUGGGAAGGCCGGUCCACUAGCCCUAUAAUGACCGUGAUGGACGAAAGGGUGGGGGGCCAACCGGAUUAGAUUCCCUGGUAGUCCCCCCCCUAAACGAUGGAAAAAGCGGUCCGGGUCUUUUAGAUCUCAGUGACGCAGCUAACGCGAUAAGUUCCCGCCUG
RNAcentral lists this ribosomal RNA (532 nucleotides) under uncultured bacterium. Its description in RNAcentral is "bacterial SSU rRNA". It matches the Rfam family "Bacterial small subunit ribosomal RNA", at positions 350 to 875 of the family's 1533-position model. The record is from RNAcentral.